This 677-nucleotide long non-coding RNA is filed under the name Dromaius novaehollandiae (emu). Its description in RNAcentral is "lncRNA (ENSDNVG00000002016.1)". The record is from RNAcentral. Lineage: Eukaryota; Metazoa; Chordata; Aves; Casuariiformes; Dromaiidae.
ACUUGUUUUUACAUAUGACUAGAACUUGUUAUUGAGUUGUUUUUGUGCUCUUUGCACACUUCACUGUGUAGUAUGUAAAUUCUUUUUAGUACAUCCAAAACUUCUAAAGCUAUGCAGCUUGUGUGGUGUUUAACUGCUUAUAACAGCUGUUUAUGAGAUAGUGUGAUCCAACCAAUAAGCAGGUUAGGAAAUGAUAAGCGCAGCAGGGUUAGUCUUUUGAGGUGUUUUGCCUUAGGGAAUAACAACCAAACUUUCUUUGCUGUGGGGACAGUGACGAGGGGAUUUUUCAGGUUUGUUUUCUGGGUUUUUUGCACUGUGCCAGAUACAAAAGGAAAAAAUGAGGUUGUAUAAGACAAUACCUACUUUCAUUCUCUUGCUUACAGAAUGAGUUAUUUCCUAUGUCAGACCUCCUGGGACUUCUCUGCCUAAACUUGGUACCACAGAAGAAGUUUUGUUCUUUUUAAUGCCACAACUGAGGAUAUUUUUGUAAAAAUAUGCAGGUUGCUGCGAACCAAACAUCUUUGCAAUCAGAGGAAACGUACAGUGUCACAUCUGGUGUCUCACCUUUUCACACUGCUGAACCAGCAACAGAUGGGAAAGAUCAUGUUCCAGCAGAACAUCUCUCAGCUUCAUUAGUGGCAGGACUCAGUAUUUGCUUUGUGCUCCUUAUUAUUGUC